CCUACGGGCGGCAGCAGUGGGGAAUAUUGGACAAUGGGCGAAAGCCUGAUCCAGCCAUGCCGCGUGUGUGAAGAAGGCCUUCGGGUUGUAAAGCACUUUCAGUGGGGAAGAAAGCCUUGGGGCUAAUACCCUCGAGGAAGGACAUCACCCACAGAAGAAGCACCGGCUAACUCCGUGCCAGCAGCCGCGGUAAUACGGAGGGUGCGAGCGUUAAUCGGAAUUACUGGGCGUAAAGCGCGCGUAGGCGGUCUGAUAAGCCGGUUGUGAAAGCCCCGGGCUCAACCUGGGAACGGCAUCCGGAACUGUCAGGCUAGAGUGCAGGAGAGGAAGGUAGAAUUCCCGGUGUAGCGGUGAAAUGCGUAGAGAUCGGGAGGAAUACCAGUGGCGAAGGUGGCCUUCUGGACUGACACUGACGCUGAGGUGCGAAAGCGUGGGUAGCAAACAGGAUUAGAUACCCCAGUAGUC
This 465-nucleotide ribosomal RNA is filed under the name Vreelandella stevensii. Its description in RNAcentral is "partial 16S ribosomal RNA". It matches the Rfam family "Bacterial small subunit ribosomal RNA", at positions 338 to 795 of the family's 1533-position model. Lineage: Bacteria; Pseudomonadati; Pseudomonadota; Gammaproteobacteria; Oceanospirillales; Halomonadaceae. The record is from RNAcentral.